UACGUAGGGACCAAGCGUUGUUCGGAUUUACUGGGCGUAAAGGGCGCGUAGGCGGCGUGGUAAGUCACUUGUGAAAUCUCUGAGCUUAACUCAGAACGGCCAAGUGAUACUGCUGUGCUAGAGUGCAGAAGGGGCAAUCGGAAUUCUUGGUGUAGCGGUGAAAUGCGUAGAUAUCAAGAGGAACACCUGAGGUGAAGACGGGUUGCUGGGCUGACACUGACGCUGAUGCGCGAAAGCCAGGGGAGCGAACGGG
Molecule: ribosomal RNA, 253 nt
Filed under: uncultured bacterium
Lineage: Bacteria
Description: partial 16S ribosomal RNA
Rfam family: Bacterial small subunit ribosomal RNA
Source: RNAcentral